AGUUCGCUCCAAGGAAUAUUCAGAUCUUCUUGGUCAAAGCUCAUUACUGGAUCAUCUAAUUGCUUGAAGUUAAUAGUACAUUGUAUUGGAUCUGAGUAUGGAAAAGCUUGAUAAACAUCUUUGUGCAUGUGAGAUGCAACAGAACUUGGCAGAGGAGAACUUUUGAUCAAGUGUGUUGAGUUGAUGGCUUUUGGCAACAAAUUUGAAGAGUUCAGCAUCUGAAGAUCUUUAUCACAUCCAAUAUUCCACAAAGUGCUCUGGUGCAGAGGUGAAAGAGCAGAUUCUUUGUUGUUAAUUAAGGUGGAAAAGUGGUUGUUCUUGUUAAAGUAUUUUCUAUCAAAUGCUUUCCUAGG
Molecule: long non-coding RNA, 353 nt
Filed under: Gossypium raimondii (Peruvian cotton)
Lineage: Eukaryota; Viridiplantae; Streptophyta; Magnoliopsida; Malvales; Malvaceae
Description: long non-coding RNA (GRAI_LNC009281)
Source: RNAcentral